GAUCAACAGUGCUCAUUUCAGUGAUACAGAGAAGAUUAGCAUGGCCCCUGCACAAGGAUAACAUACAGAUUCGUGAAGCAUUCCAUAUUUUU
Small nuclear RNA from Balaenoptera musculus (blue whale), 92 nucleotides. NCBI's taxonomy places the organism in Eukaryota, Metazoa, Chordata, Mammalia, Artiodactyla, Balaenopteridae. The record is from Ensembl.